AAGAUGGCGACCGGCGCACGGGUGAGUAACACGUAUCCAACCUGCCGAUAACUCUGGAAUAGCCUUUCGAAAGAAAGAUUAAUACCGGAUAGUAUACGAAUAUCGCAUGAUAUUUUUAUUAAAGAAUUUCGGUUAUCGAUGGGGAUGCGUUCCAUUAGUUUGUUGGCGGGGUAACGGCCCACCAAGACUACGAUGGAUAGGGGUUCUGAGAGGAAGGUCCCCCACAUUGGAACUGAGACACGGUCCAA
This 248-nucleotide ribosomal RNA is filed under the name uncultured bacterium. Its description in RNAcentral is "partial 16S ribosomal RNA". It matches the Rfam family "Bacterial small subunit ribosomal RNA", at positions 85 to 334 of the family's 1533-position model. The record is from RNAcentral.